UCAGAUUUUACUUCUCAGAGCAGCUGUGACGCGGAGUCUCCACCAUGUUCCUGAUGCUGUGUCUGCUGAAAAAGUCCUGAGAGGCAGAAGCCUUUACCGUCCCCAGGCCCGAAGGGGUAAAGGGAAGGAGAAGUUCCUAGAAUACGGGGCGCUAUAGUCCUCACCCACACUGGGCCAGCCACCCAGCAGCACCCGAGGGAUGACUCAACCUUCCGUGCAUUCAUCUGGAGGCUCUAUGGGAACCCGAACCCAAACCCUCUAAGUGUUCCAGAUCCCCAGUUCCCCCUGGCAAUCCAGUUACCCAAAUAAUACAUCUUCACAGGCUGAAUGGGAUAAGCGGGCCCUGACAAGCAGCAUUAAAUUCCUUACCUGUUUUACUCUGUUCUGAAUUCCCUA
This is a long non-coding RNA of Prionailurus viverrinus (fishing cat), 396 nucleotides long. RefSeq lists it as uncharacterized. The record is from RefSeq and is a predicted model, not a curated record. NCBI's taxonomy places the organism in Eukaryota, Metazoa, Chordata, Mammalia, Carnivora, Felidae. The transcript is spliced from 4 exons.